AACUCUUAACAAUGGAUGUCUUGGUUCUCGCAACGAUGAAGAACGCAGCGAAAUGCGAUACGUAGUGUGAAUUGCAGGGCUCAGUGAAUCAUCGAAACUUUGAACGCAUAUUGCGCUUGUGGGUGACCACAAGCACGUCUGUCUCAG
RNAcentral lists this ribosomal RNA (147 nucleotides) under uncultured Geminigera. RNAcentral's name for it is "5.8S ribosomal RNA". It matches the Rfam family "5.8S ribosomal RNA". From Rfam's summary of the family: 5.8S ribosomal RNA (5.8S rRNA) is a component of the large subunit of the eukaryotic ribosome. It is transcribed by RNA polymerase I as part of the 45S precursor that also contains 18S and 28S rRNA. Lineage: Eukaryota; Cryptophyceae; Pyrenomonadales; Geminigeraceae. The record is from RNAcentral.